GCCAGGCACGGUGGUGCAUGCUUGUAAUCCCAACGGCUUGGGAGGCUGAGACAGGAGGAUUGCGAGUUCAAAGCCAGCCUCAGCAAAAGCAAGGUGCUAAGCAACGGAAUGAGACCCUGUCUCUA
This 125-nucleotide small RNA is filed under the name Marmota monax (woodchuck). The record is from RNAcentral. Lineage: Eukaryota; Metazoa; Chordata; Mammalia; Rodentia; Sciuridae.